RNAcentral lists this long non-coding RNA (3788 nucleotides) under Capsicum annuum. RNAcentral's name for it is "long non-coding RNA (CANN_LNC021634)". The record is from RNAcentral. Lineage: Eukaryota; Viridiplantae; Streptophyta; Magnoliopsida; Solanales; Solanaceae.
CACCAACUAGACCUUGCAAUUCUGUCUGAAGAAAUCUACUGCUUAUCAGGACCUCUAGACUGUGCCUCAGAACCUGGAAGGUAGGGGGGUCAAUACAGAUGUACUGGUACGCAGAGCAGAUCCAAAAUACUAGUUUAUAUUCAACAUAUAUGAUAGCAAUUUAAAACAGUUCAUAAACAUAUCAGAUAGUAAGAAAUCUCAUGGGCAUUUUCGAAAGACUCUGUAAAAUCAUCUGAACUCUGUGACACUCUUUGUUUUACUUCUGCGCUAGAUGGUAUACCUUACAACUCUGAAAUUCCACGGGCUAUAUGGAAUCCGUCAUUGACUCGGCGGGGAAGCCUUCAACCCAAGUGUGCCGCAAGGGUUGGAUUCUCUGACUCUGCUACGCCACACGGCCGUCGCCAGCGUAAAAAUAAUCUACUUGGAUCAGCAAAUCACGGUUUUAGGCUAAGAGUUACUUGAACUCUAGUCCUCUUCGGGUAACCACCUAACCCUCUUUAAGCCCAGUUUUUACUCUUUAAAACAUGUAUUCUCUGAAAUCAAACUCUGAAAACAUACUCUGUUAUGGCAUACAUACUUAUGGUAUCGUCAUACAGUUGACUUGCAAGUCACAUCUCUGAGCCAUUAAUAACAUAUUAUAAUCUCUUCUUUCAAAACAUAAGUUUGGGACCACCAUAUCAAUAAACCAACUCAAAGAAACUUUCUCAAACCUCAUGUAAACACAUGCAAGGAACUCUCUUUGUCAAGCAUUUCAAUAAUACAAGGUGGUCAUGUCAAAUUUCUCAAUCACAUGCAACUCUUUCUCAUUUAAACAAGGGUGUAAUUAUAUCAAGAAGCUCCUUCUCAUCAUCUCAAAAUCAUGCUUGAACACUAAGGUAUUGAGAAAACUAGUUUCAAAACCAUAAAUCAUGCAUUUCAAAUCAUUCACAAUAAGAUCAUAAACUUGAAUUUAUCACAAGAGAGGACUUCAUAAUCUGUGCUCUCAAACAAAUCUUAAAUUUCAAUUUCAUACAUAUACAUAUACUUGUAAAUCAAUUUAAGGGGAUGAUGCCUAAAGGCCAAAACAACAAUAUCAAUAACAUGCAUAAAGCAUAAUAAAAAUCAUGGAUUUCAAACCCCUUUAACAAAUUCAUGCUUUAUAAUCUUUGAAUCAUAAUUGAGUGUUUUAACAAGCCCAUGCAUUUUUAGGAUAAACCCUACGUACCUCAAUUUAGAAAUUUGAUGGAUGAUUCUUAAAGCCUACGGUUUGGGAAUUCCAAAUCUUAACUCAGUUUCGAAAAUCCACAGUUGAAUCUUGAGUUAAUUGGGUUUUUAGUUUGAAACCCUAGAGAGUGUUCUUGUGAAUUUUUGGAGAGAAUAUGAAUAAUGUGGUUACUUGAGAGUAUAAUCCCGUGUUUAAGCUGAUAAGGGGUGGAAUAUACGUAACAUACCCUUAAUGAGACGAAAUAAAAUAUAACUGGGAGUCCAAUUUUAUGGGCCACCACGACGCGCCACAAUUGCGGUGGCUCAAUGAAAAUUGAUGAAUGGGAUUCUUAGGGUCACCGCGACGCAGAGCCAUCGCGUAGUCCCACUGGUUGGGACCUGAAAUUUCAGCACGACGCGCCACAAUCGCGCUAGGCUACUGGAAUUUAACAAUUGUUAAAUAAACCCCCUCCGCGACGCGCCAAGCACAAAAAUAACGGUGUUUUCGACUAGGACUUAAAUUAGCCAUAAUUUCUAACCCGGGUAUCGAAUUUGGGCGAAUCUUAAAUUGGCGGAAAGCUUAUCAAAUUUCCCAUGUGAUGAAAAGUCGAAAUUAGGAAAUAUUAAUUUUCUAGUCUUUAACUCUAAGAGCAUAUUACCACGAGCUAACUCAUGGAUGAUGCAGGGUGUUACAUCGCAUUAACCAGUUGGCACACUAAGCAUUUAGCCACAUACUCAGCGACAUUCUCACUGAUCUUGCUUUUGCUUUUGCUGAUUCAGUGGUUGCCAUGAAGGUUGGAAUUGAAGGAGAGCCCAUGAAAGUAUUUGACAUCCCCAGAAAUUGGUGAAAUGAUCUUCUUGGAUCAUAUAUUGGAGAAGCCAGUCUUGGUCUGUAUGGUAUUGUUUAGGGAAGGCCUUGACACAUACAACCACCCCACCUCAAAGAGGCUGGCUGCUGAUAACCAUCUAGCACCAAGACUUUUAGUGGUUGGAUCCCAUUUGGUAACAAGGCUAAAAAUUAUUUAGUUGUGUAGAAUUUGAAAGCAGUAGUUUGGGAAUCAAUUUAAUUGGUGGAAAUUGGGAGUUGCUUCAAGUAUACACCUUCGUAUAAGUAAUGUAGUGUCCCGAGAAUCAGAUGUCAAACUCACAUGGAUUUGUGAUUUAACUAUUUAUUAAAUUAAAUUAAUGCUAAUUAUUUAUUCAAGUGGUAAAAUUCAAAGAUAUAAUUAUCAACUAACUAAAUACAAAAGGAAAUAAAUAAUGAAGAAUUAAUUAGAUGAACAGUAAAUUUUAUGUAUCAUUAAAUGAAAUUGAUAUAAGGUUAUGACCUAUCUAACAAUCACGUUGUAUUCUUCAAUUGGCUUACCUAUUGAUUUUUUUUGAGUUAUCAGUUGCAGCUUUCUGGUUGAUAUCAUUUAUUUGAACAUUUUGCUAAUAACUCUAAGACUAUUCGACUAUUCUAACGCCUUAUUUCUAUGGUCAUCGGUUAAUAGUGAAGUACAUGUAUGUUUCUUUUGUAUCAACCGAACAAAGAUUAAAAGGUAUAUUCCUAUCCACAUUGUUGGAUUUUACGAGUUAUGAGUCGCCCAUGUGACCCGAUCCGAUCAAUUAUUCUCUUUUUUGAUUAUCUGUAAAAAGAAGAUAAUAGGGAGUAUAUUAUGAAUUUGAAAAAGAGGGAACAGUUACUAAAUAACAGUUCAUCCGCGCCCAAUUUCCCCAUUUAUAUACUGCUACUUCUUCUUCUUCUUCAGAUAGAGUAUGAGAAAAUUAAGAUUUCUUGAGUACAAAAACUUACAUCAAGAACAAAACACCAAAGUUAGCAUUUAGCUUAUGAAAUUCAAGCUUUGUUUCCAAGAGAUUCAAAGCAUACUUGGGGCAGAUUUUUCAACAACAACAACAAACCCAGUGUAUUCCCACCUGGUGGGGUCUGGGGGUAGGAUGUACACAGUUCAUACCUCUACCUCUGAAGAAGUAGAAAGACUGUUUUCGAUAGAUCCCCGAAAAAUUAACCAAGUACACACUGUUUUGCUCCGAAUUUGAUAACAAUGACAUUAAAGUCAGGUUUAGUUGCCUUAAUUUUACAUGUAUUACCUCGAGUUUAAUAUGAUAAACUCUUGAAAUUGUGUAUUAACAUACCCGUGAGACAAUAAUUGCGUUAUGGAUUCCUCAGGCGCCCACAAAUUGAGUUUUAGAUCUGGCAAUUUUUUUCUUUUCUCAAAAUUCUGUUUCUAUAGGAUUUCUCCUUCGUUGAAUUUACAGUUUUUUUAAGCUCCGCUCAUCAACGCGACAACGCCACCUUAUGCUCUGCUGCUGUGUAUUAAGGUCCGAUGCCACAUCGUAUGAUUGGACCAAUAUACAAGUUUAUUGUUAAAUGUAAUCGCAAAAAAAUGGCUCCGUGAAGGAAUUGAAAAUCCAUACUCAGAAUAUGCAGGAGGCGUGAAGAGAGGAAAUCAUGUGUGUUGUUACCGUGCAGACACUUGUGCCUAUGCACAGUUUGCAGGUGCAAAAGUAAUAGAAUGUUCUGGAGAUUUAGUGUUUUGAAUUGAUAAAAGAGAAUAAUAUUAAAAUUAGGCUUCACUGGGAUGAACCAUGAAUUUUUUUUUUUC